This 270-nucleotide ribosomal RNA is filed under the name uncultured archaeon. RNAcentral describes it as "partial 16S ribosomal RNA". It matches the Rfam family "Archaeal small subunit ribosomal RNA", at positions 477 to 747 of the family's 1478-position model. The record is from RNAcentral.
CAGCUCUCCGAGUGGUAGGGGUGAUUAUUGGGCUUAAAGCGUCCGUAGCCGGCUUAGCAAGUCUCCUGUUAAACUCAGCGACCUAAUCGUUGAAUCGCGGGAGAUACUACUAGGCUAGGAGGCGGGAGAGGUCGACGGUACUUCUGGGGUAGGGGUGAAAUCCUAUAAUCCCGGGAGGACCACCAGUGGCGAAGGCUGUCGACUAGAACGCGCUCGACGGUGAGGGACGAAAGCUGGGGGAGCGAACCGGAUUAGAUACCCGAGUAGUCC